UUCUUUCCCCGUAGAAGGCCCUCCUCCACCCCAUCUCCUCUGAAACCCAGUCUCUGUGGCAUUUCAUCCAUGACACCAUCUGUCCCUAGUCCCUACUGCCUGGGCAGAGGUGACCCAGGCGCUUUGGACCUCUUAGAACACUUUGCUUGAGGCUCUCCGGUGUCCCUCACAGCUGUGACUCCUCUAAUGUGGGCAGGCCACAUUACCUGCUGCAUCACUGCCACUCAAAAUGCUCUGAACGCUCCCUAUGUCCCCAGCCUCUACUGAGAUGUGGAGCCUGCAAGCUCCAUUCUGCGUUCAGCUGGGUCCACUGUUCUUGCCCCCUGCAUAGGUGUGAAUUACAGCCUGUCUUCUCAAAACACGGGCUGCAAAGGCCAUCUUCUAGGUCAGGCAAUUCUAUUAUCAGGGCGGUUGAAUGUGAAAGGGUCCUACAAAUGUGGUCAUGCCGUGUUUUAAACUGUCUGUAACCAAUUGCUAUGACUUUUGCACAAACCCAUCCCGGAGGUCCGAGUGCCAAAGCUGCCCUUCAUGACUCGCGUCCACAGCCUGAAAAGCCCCUAGUGGAUCCUACCUCUGUGGCUGCUGCGACAGAGCUGCUGCCUUACCUGAGGCUUCCACGAACAACAGAGACAUCUAGUGCAGGAAACAAGGCUCAAGAAAUGUUGCAUGGCUUGGUCUUUCACGUGACUCAGAAGAGGCAAAAGUGAAAUCUGAAAUCCUGCUGACUCUAAAGCCUGUGCCCUCAACCAUUAGGUUUUGUAGCGUUUCCACUCCUUCUGUUUUGCUUCCCUGUCUGGGCUCCUUCCUAGUUCAAGAUGGACAGUCAUCCAUAAGUUCCAUGUCACAUCUGUCAUCCUGCGUUCAAAGACAGAAAUGACUUCCUUCCACCUUUGCCCUCAGAACUCCUAGUGCUGGUCCGUAAAGUGACAUGUGGCAGCUGUGCUCAAAGGUCGGGGUCAGAAGCAGGGCGCCCCAUGGCUGGCUGUGGGCAGGGCCUGACUGCCUCAACAAAGGGGCCCGUCUUUUCCUCCAAUCCAUCAGAUCCAUCCCAGAGGGUUGGGCUGGGCUGGCCUCUCAGAUGACUCUGGGUGUAGAGACACACUGACCGUGCAGCUUUCCCUCCCGUCGGGGCUCCCUCGCUCUGGCCCAGGCACUUAGAGACACCAUGCCCCUCCUCUUUGUGUUCCUGCAUCCGCCUGGCGGCCUCCUCCUCCUUUCUUUGUGGCCCUCUCUCCCUCUGGCUCCCUUUGCUGGCUUUAUUCCUCCCAGGCUUCCUGUCACACUAAGCUCUUUG
Long non-coding RNA from Bos taurus (domestic cattle), 1294 nucleotides. The record is from Ensembl. Lineage: Eukaryota; Metazoa; Chordata; Mammalia; Artiodactyla; Bovidae.